AUCCUGGCUCAGGACGAACGCUGGCGGCGUGCCUAAUACAUGCAAGUCGAGCGGAUCUUCAUUAGCUUGCUAUUGAAGAUCAGCGGCGGACGGGUGAGUAACACGUGGGCAACCUGCCUGUAAGACUGGGAUAACUUCGGGAAACCGGAGCUAAUACCGGAUAAUCCUUUCCCUCACAUGAGGGAAAGCUGAAAGACGGUUUCGGCUGUCACUUACAGAUGGGCCCGCGGCGCAUUAGCUAGUUGGUGAGGUAACGGCUCACCAAGGCAACGAUGCGUAGCCGACCUGAGAGGGUGAUCGGCCACACUGGGACUGAGACACGGCCCAGACUCCUACGGGAGGCAGCAGUAGGGAAUCUUCCGCAAUGGACGAAAGUCUGACGGAGCAACGCCGCGUGAGCGAUGAAGGCCUUCGGGUCGUAAAGCUCUGUUGUCAGGGAAGAACAAGUAACCGGAGUAACUGCCGGUACCUUGACG
RNAcentral lists this ribosomal RNA (476 nucleotides) under Mesobacillus boroniphilus. RNAcentral describes it as "bacterial SSU rRNA". It matches the Rfam family "Bacterial small subunit ribosomal RNA", at positions 16 to 484 of the family's 1533-position model. Lineage: Bacteria; Bacillati; Bacillota; Bacilli; Caryophanales; Bacillaceae. The record is from RNAcentral.